AUUUUUUAUUUUUAUUUUAAUAAAACAUCUUUAAUAUUUAUAUUUAUCUUUUUGAUUUGUUAUCAUUAUAAUACUAUUUAUUUUUUAAUAGUAUAUAAAUAAAAUAAUUUUUUUAUCCUUAUAAAUAUAUUUUUUAAAAAAUCUCAAUUGUUAGAAUUAUACAGAAAUAUCCUCACAAAAAAUAUUUUGCUCAAUAAUAUAAAAGGAUAAAAAAGUCAAUUUAACUCAUUCAUUAAUCAAAUUUAAAUAUUUUACUUAUAGUUAAUUAUAUUUUUCUAAUGAAUCCUAACAUGAGUAAUAUAUUUGAAAAUAUUAAAAUUUUUGUAUGAAUAAAAAUAAAAAGUUAAACUUUAUAAAAAUAUGUCUGUCAUUCGAUAUGUUUAUAGGGGAGCUUUAUGCAAUUAA
This 405-nucleotide long non-coding RNA is filed under the name Ananas comosus (pineapple). RNAcentral's name for it is "long non-coding RNA (ACOM_LNC038074)". Lineage: Eukaryota; Viridiplantae; Streptophyta; Magnoliopsida; Poales; Bromeliaceae. The record is from RNAcentral.